CUCUAAAAUGCUAUUUUCUGAGGCGAGGUUGGAUGAAAGUUAUUAAUUCAGAAACAGAUUCAUUAGGACCAGCGCUUAAAGUGACCCAACCCCUCCCAGCGCCAUUUGAACGUUAGUAACUUUAUGUUCGUCUGCACUUUUUCCCUCUUCAAGCACUGGUCAUUACGCCUGUAUAAUGACAUUAACUAACAUCAAUUGGACUGCACGUUUUACUUUCAGCUAUAAUCACACUGAUGAUCUGAACUAUCGUAUGUACAGUCAGGCCUGGGUGUCUGCAGAGGCACGUGCCUAGUAUCCCUCCUCAUUAAAAGCUUGUAUCUCCAUAUUAAGUCACUUUUUAAUAAAUUAUUUCUAUUGGUUACUUCAGCGAGAGAGGGGACCAGAUGAAGUGGAUCAGACAGCCGUGCCCUCUGAAGUAGACUGUGCCACACUUCCAAGUACACCCUGCAUAAUUGUGUGUGGAAGUUCCCCUUUGACUGCAGAGAACUUUGUUUUCUGUCGACCAAGUCAUAGUUAACAGCCACAUCACCAUCUUCUGCGAUGCUCUGAAGUUGAUGUUUGCCUCAUACUACUGCUUGAAUAUUUCAUACCCAGGAGACCAAGGAGCAACGCUAGAGUUCGUGCAAAGUACAGAAACUCAAGAGGAUCAAACGUGUCUCCAAUAUCAGACGGAAAACUCCCCGGG
RNAcentral lists this long non-coding RNA (685 nucleotides) under Sinocyclocheilus grahami. Its description in RNAcentral is "lncRNA (ENSSGRG00000011889.1)". The record is from RNAcentral. Lineage: Eukaryota; Metazoa; Chordata; Actinopteri; Cypriniformes; Cyprinidae.